RNAcentral lists this long non-coding RNA (491 nucleotides) under Androctonus crassicauda. The record is from RNAcentral. Lineage: Eukaryota; Metazoa; Arthropoda; Arachnida; Scorpiones; Buthidae.
AAAACCUUUUUGUCAUAGACUGUACAUCACCAACCUUUCAUUUGAAAAUUUGUAAGCCUUUUAUAAUGUAAUUCCUUAUUCAGUUAAAGUACUUUCGUUUAAAGUAUAAGUUUUCUGGUCCCAAUUAGUAUGUUAUAAUGGAGUGUACCUGUACCUCUAAAAGGCAACAGCCAUGUGCAUAUUAUGAAAUACAUAGGGAUAACUGGUAAAAAAUUGCAAGAUAGGAUUGUGCAGCAUACAAUUCAAUUGACAGAACAUCACAUUAAGUCAAAAGUCUAUGACAAAUGUCAGAUCCUCUGGGACAAAGUAGGCCUACAAAUAAUCAAUUAUAUCACACUACAUUUUUGCAGACUUUUUGAAAAAUUCAAUAUUAAGAAACAUAAAAUCAACAAAGUAAUCAAUGUUAAAUAUACACUAAAAGAGCAAUGGAAGGUCUUAAUACAACAAGGACUUUUAUAAAUUUAUUUUUAUUUUAUCAAGUUAUUGUUAUU